This 803-nucleotide long non-coding RNA is filed under the name Homo sapiens (human). Its description in RNAcentral is "non-protein coding lnc-SYCP2-2:1". Lineage: Eukaryota; Metazoa; Chordata; Mammalia; Primates; Hominidae. The record is from RNAcentral.
GGAGCGGCCCCAUUGAUCAAUGGCCUCCCGAGAACUGCCGAGAACAUCAAUUGAGACAGAAGCGCUUCAGGUGUGGCCCCUGGACCAGCAGCAUCCACCUCACCUGGGAACAUGUUGGAAAUGCAAGUUCUCCCCCUCCCCAGAUCUCCUAAAUCAGAUCCUCAGGGGCGAGGCCAGCACGCUGUGUUUGAACAAACCCUCGCACUGAUUCAGACGCAUGCUCUGCCACAGGCACAAGGUGACAGGUGUCAAGGGAACACAGAAAGACAGAGAGACGAAGGGGAGCUACUGGCAGUACCAACAGCCAAGACCUGGGGCCCUCUCCUCCUGCCUCCAGGAGGCCUGAUUUUCCCUUCCCUGCCUCCCUGCAGAAGUUCAAGGCUGUUCUUUAUGAAAGAACUUACAGGUGGCCUCAGGCCCCCUGUUGAAGGUCAUGGUAUCUUCCCUCUUGUCCUUUCCCAGUCCAGGAGCACUCGGCCGUGACCCCCGAGAGAUCCAUGCCCUGUCAUGCGCCUGCCUCUCAGCCUCUCCCCAGGCUAACUGCUGCAGUGCCAAGGAGGGCCCUGCCCUUUGCCUCUGUGCCCCCAUUGCCAGGGUUUCCUGUUCAGCUGUGAAGGGCUCCCUCGAUUGCUCCAGAGUCUGGAAUUUGGGAACACUUCAAGCAGAAAGUUUAUAAUUCACCUCCCAAUUCUUUCAGCCCUGUGAACUGCCUACUGCUUGAAAAACAAAAAACAUCAAGUGACUGCUGAUUAUGGACUAGAACAGAAAUCAUGCAAAUAUUCUUACUUUGGCUAAGUUAAAAU